AUGCCGUUGCGUCGUGGGCUCGCAGCCUCCGGAGCUGUAGGCCAGGGGUUCGAAUCCUCUCGGGCGUACCA
This 71-nucleotide transfer RNA is filed under the name Planctomycetota bacterium. RNAcentral describes it as "Planctomycetes bacterium tRNA-Arg". The record is from RNAcentral. Lineage: Bacteria; Pseudomonadati; Planctomycetota.